Molecule: ribosomal RNA, 255 nt
Filed under: Clostridioides difficile
Lineage: Bacteria; Bacillati; Bacillota; Clostridia; Peptostreptococcales; Peptostreptococcaceae
Description: partial 23S ribosomal RNA
Rfam family: Bacterial large subunit ribosomal RNA
Source: RNAcentral
AUUGCAAGACAUACAGGUCGAGCAAGGAUGAAAAUCGGACUUAGGGAUCCGGUGGUUCUGCGUGGAAGGGCCAUCGCUCAACGGAUAAAAGCUACCCUGGGGAUAACAGGCUUAUCUCCCCCAAGAGGCCACAUCGACGGGGAGGUUUGGAACCUCGAUGUCGGCUCAUCACAUCCUGGGGCUGUAGUAGGUCCCAAGGGUUGGGCUGUUCGCCCAUUAAAGUGGUACGCGAGCUGGGUUCAGAACGUCGUGAGA